AUUGAACGCUGGCGGCAGGCUUAACACAUGCAAGUCGAGCGGAGUGAUGGUGCUUGCACUAUCACUUAGCGGCGGACGGGUGAGUAAUGCUUAGGAAUCUGCCUAUUAGUGGGGGACGACAUCUCGAAAGGGAUGCUAAUACCGCAUACGUCCUACGGGAGAAAGCAGGGGAUCACUUGUGACCUUGCGCUAAUAGAUGAGCCUAAGUCGGAUUAGCUAGUUGGUGGGGUAAAGGCCUACCAAGGCGACGAUCUGUAGCGGGUCUGAGAGGAUGAUCCGCCACACUGGGACUGAGACACGGCCCAGACUCCUACGGGAGGCAGCAGUGGGGAAUAUUGGACAAUGGGGGGAACCCUGACCCAGCCAUGCCGCGUGUGUGAAGAAGGCCUUAUGGUUGUAAAGCACCUUAAGCGAGGAGGAGGCUCUUUUGGUUAAUACCCAUGAUGAGUGGACGUUACUCGCAGAAUAAGCACCGGCUAACUCUGUGCCAGCCGCCGCCGUAA
This 503-nucleotide ribosomal RNA is filed under the name uncultured bacterium. RNAcentral describes it as "partial 16S ribosomal RNA". It matches the Rfam family "Bacterial small subunit ribosomal RNA", at positions 30 to 523 of the family's 1533-position model. The record is from RNAcentral.